GUCCCGAAACGAGCGCAACCCCUAUCCUAUGUUAUAAGUGUCUUAGGAAACUGCCUCGGUAAAACGGGGAGGAAGGUGGGGAUGACGUCUGGUCCGCAUGGCCCUUAUGCCUUGGGCGACACACGCGCUACAAUGGCCGGUACAACGGGUUGCCAAAUCGUAAGAUGGAGCUAAUCCCAAAAAACCGGUCUCAGUUCGGAUUGAGGUCUGCAACUCGACCUCAUGAAGUUGGAUUUACUAGUAAUCGCAGAUCAGCCAUGCUGCGGUGAAUACGUUCUCGGGAGUUGCACACACCGCCCGUCACGCCAUGGAAGUGGGUAAUACCCGAAGGUGUUCUGUCUUUAUGAUGGGAUAACUAAGGUAAUGCUCAUGACUAGGGUGAAGUCGUAACA
This 392-nucleotide ribosomal RNA is filed under the name uncultured actinobacterium B2M43. RNAcentral describes it as "bacterial SSU rRNA". It matches the Rfam family "Bacterial small subunit ribosomal RNA", at positions 1084 to 1493 of the family's 1533-position model. Lineage: Bacteria; Bacillati; Actinomycetota; Actinomycetes. The record is from RNAcentral.